AAAAAUAAAAAAAAAACAAAGCAAAGCAAAAAGGAAGCAGUUGAAGCCCCAUGCGAAUGCAAAGGACUUAGCGCACAAAUUAACCAUUUGAAGCACCAAAGUGUGGAUCCAGCUAAUGGCACCGUUUUCAAUUCUAUUCCCUCUUUUAUUUGCCGUUUCAACUUCACAUAAUGCUCUCAAAUUGGGAGGUUCCUUUCAACCUUGGAAUCUCCUUUGAUUUGAUUUCAACAAAACAAAGAGAAGAAAGCCAUGGCCUCUUCACACGGUAUGCAUAGCGUGGAGGAGUUAUUUGCGGAACAUGGCACGAGUGGAAGAAUCAACUAAAGGCUGGGGUGGCUGAAGCUUCUAAGGUUUCUGCUGAAAAUUCCUUAGGUGUUUUGGGCUUGGGGUGGCUAGUUGGAUUAAGUUUAAUAAUUUGAACCCAUUAUUUUGGUUGCUGGACCAUGUAAGAAAUGGACAUUGGACUAUUAUUUAUAUAUUUUUUUAGUUUUAUUUUUUUUGUUUUGGUUUUGGUGUAAGCCCGGGCACAAAUUGGGUCUGACAAACUGAUUUUAAAUGAGCAGCAAGAGCUUAGAAGAA
This is a long non-coding RNA of Gossypium arboreum, 579 nucleotides long. RefSeq lists it as uncharacterized. The transcript is spliced from 2 exons. The record is from RefSeq and is a predicted model, not a curated record. Lineage: Eukaryota; Viridiplantae; Streptophyta; Magnoliopsida; Malvales; Malvaceae.